RNAcentral lists this ribosomal RNA (253 nucleotides) under uncultured bacterium. RNAcentral's name for it is "partial 16S ribosomal RNA". It matches the Rfam family "Bacterial small subunit ribosomal RNA", at positions 524 to 776 of the family's 1533-position model. The record is from RNAcentral.
UACGUAGGGUGCAAGCGUUAAUCGGAAUUACUGGGCGUAAAGCGUGCGCAGGCGGUUCUAUAAGACAGAUGUGAAAUCCCCGGGCUCAACCUGGGAACUGCAUUUGUGACUGUAGAGCUGGAGUGCGGCAGAGGGGGAUGGAAUUCCGCGUGUAGCAGUGAAAUGCGUAGAUAUCUGGAGGAACACCGGUGGCGAAGGCGGCAUCCUGGACCAAUUCUGACGCUGAGGAGCGAAAGCCAGGGGAGCAAACGGG